Molecule: unclassified non-coding RNA, 246 nt
Filed under: plant metagenome
Description: partial contains small subunit ribosomal RNA, internal transcribed spacer 1, and 5.8S ribosomal RNA
Rfam family: Eukaryotic small subunit ribosomal RNA (bases 1-55)
Source: RNAcentral
GGAAGUAAAAAGUCGUAACAAGGAUUCCGUAGGUGAACCUGCGGAAGGAUCAUUAAAGAGAAUAUGCCCUUCGGGGUAGAUCUCCCACCCUUUGUUUAUACUACCUUUGUUGCUUUGGCAGGCCCGUCUUCGGACCGCCGGCUUCGGCUGGUCAGUGCUUGCCAGAGGACUCAAAACUCUUAUUAUUAAUGUCGUCUGAGUACUAUAUAAUAGUUAAAACUUUCAACAACGGAUCUCUUGGUUCUG